This 601-nucleotide unclassified non-coding RNA is filed under the name Hevea brasiliensis (rubber tree). The record is from RNAcentral. Lineage: Eukaryota; Viridiplantae; Streptophyta; Magnoliopsida; Malpighiales; Euphorbiaceae.
AAUACCAGCACCACGAGGAGCAGGGACCAUACGGACGGUGACAGAGCCACACUUUCCGGUGACCUUGCAAGGAACAGUAUGGGGCUUUCCAAUCUUGUUACCCCAAUAACCCCUCCUAACAGGAAUCACCGACAACUUAGCCAGUAUAAUCGAACCACGAAUAGCAGUUGCCACCUCUUUGCUGCACUUAACUCCCAAUCCGACAUGGCCAUUACCGUCGCCGACGACAACGAAGGCCUUAAACCUAGUUCUCUGCCCAGCUCGGGUCUGUUUCUGCACAGGCAUGAUCUUCAUGACCUCAUCCUUGAGGCUGGGGCCAAUGAGAGUAUCGACGAUCUGGUGCUCCUUGAUUGGGAGAGAGUGAAGGUAAAUCUGCUCGAGUGACUGAAUCUUGCCUUCCUUGACGAGACGGCCAAGCUUGGUGACUGGAACCCACUUCUCCUCUUCGUCACGGCGGCCUGCACGACGGCGUCCACGGCCACGAUCGCCACCACGGCCUCUACCACCGAAGCCUCUGCCGAAGCCGCCGCGGUCUCCUCCUCCUCUUUCAGCCAUGAUUAGGGUUAGCGAAGAAGCGGCAGGGGAAAAUGAGAGAGAUUGG